CAAACGGAAUUGUUCGCUGUCACUCUCGUUGUACUGUUCGCACGUGGAGCCGAACCAUCAGAGUAUGCUCACGGCACCGUGUCACCCAGGGGAGGGGAAAAUAUCCCCACGGACAUCGAGCUGCACAA
Molecule: long non-coding RNA, 128 nt
Organism: Haliotis rubra (blacklip abalone)
Lineage: Eukaryota; Metazoa; Mollusca; Gastropoda; Lepetellida; Haliotidae
Exons: 2
Source: RefSeq, a predicted model, not a curated record